UACGUAGGGGACGAGCGUUGUCCGGAAUUACUGGGCGUAAAGCGCGCGUAGGUGGUUCAGUAAGAUGGGUGUGAAAUCCCCGGGCUCAACCUGGGAACUGCUUUCAUAACUGCUGAACUAGAGUACGGUAGAGGGUAGUGGAAUUUCCUGUGUAGCGGUGAAAUGCGUAGAUAUAGGAAGGAACACCAGUGGCGAAGGCGACUACCUGGACUGAUACUGACACUGAGGUGCGAAAGCGUGGGGAGCAAACAGGAUUAGAUACCCCCCGUAGUCCCUGA
RNAcentral lists this ribosomal RNA (278 nucleotides) under uncultured prokaryote. Its description in RNAcentral is "partial 16S ribosomal RNA". It matches the Rfam family "Bacterial small subunit ribosomal RNA", at positions 524 to 800 of the family's 1533-position model. The record is from RNAcentral.